UACGGAGGGUGCAAGCGUUAUCUGGAAUCAUUGGGUUUAAAGGGUCCGCAGGCGGAUUUAUAAGUCAGUGGUGAAAGCCUACAGCUCAACUGUAGAACUGCCAUUGAUACUGUAAGUCUUGAAUUCGGUCGAAGUGGGCGGAAUAUGACAUGUAGCGGUGAAAUGCUUAGAUAUGUCAUAGAACACCGAUAGCGAAGGCAGCUCACUAGGCCUGGAUUGACGCUCAGAGACGAAAGCGUGGGGAGCAAACAGGAUUAGAAACCCCGGUAGUCC
RNAcentral lists this ribosomal RNA (273 nucleotides) under uncultured Fluviicola sp. RNAcentral's name for it is "partial 16S ribosomal RNA". It matches the Rfam family "Bacterial small subunit ribosomal RNA", at positions 524 to 796 of the family's 1533-position model. The record is from RNAcentral. Lineage: Bacteria; Pseudomonadati; Bacteroidota; Flavobacteriia; Flavobacteriales; Crocinitomicaceae.